AUUAAAAGGAUAAAAAAAAGAAUGAGAAUACCAAUUGCUUGUUGAAUCAAACCAUUACAAGACAAGAUGCCAUAGUUGCUGUUAAGCUCGGCUUCUUCCCUCACAAUAUUAGCCAUCGAUUUUAGAACCAACCAUCUCUGUAAACACUAUCAGUGUUGUUGUAAAACUAAUUCAAGUGCUCUAAUAGCAUGUGCGUGUAUUUGAGACCAGAUUCUCAACAACACCGUUUUUUU
This 233-nucleotide long non-coding RNA is filed under the name Trifolium pratense (red clover). RNAcentral describes it as "long non-coding RNA (TPRA_LNC012626)". The record is from RNAcentral. Lineage: Eukaryota; Viridiplantae; Streptophyta; Magnoliopsida; Fabales; Fabaceae.